RNAcentral lists this long non-coding RNA (12893 nucleotides) under Manihot esculenta (cassava). RNAcentral's name for it is "long non-coding RNA (MESC_LNC003822)". The record is from RNAcentral. Lineage: Eukaryota; Viridiplantae; Streptophyta; Magnoliopsida; Malpighiales; Euphorbiaceae.
AUAAAUGAUACUGAUCAAUGCAAAAGGUGAAGUCAUCACAGCGAGAUCAAAGGUUGAAACGCUUGUGGUAUAAUUGCUUAAGGAUUGGUAGCUGAUUCAGGUUUGGUGUCUUUGGAAGGGAAUGUGGACUUUGGUAACUCAGGCAAGUGGGGAAAAGUUGGCAGUUCAGGUUUUGGCAACUCAGGCAAGUGGGGAAAAGCUGGCAGUUCAGGCUUUGGAAACUCAGGCAAUUCAGGUUUUGGCAGCGUGGGAAUUUCAGGCUUCGACAACUCAGGCAAUUCAGGUAAUUUUGGCAGAGUGGGAAGUUCAGGUUUAGGAAAGGUUGGGACUUCAGGUAAUGGUGGAAGCUCAACCUUAGGAAGUAAUGGCAAGUCAGGCAAUUCAGGCUUAGGAAGCUCCGGGACCUCAGGUAAUGUUGUCUCUAGAAGCUGUCGUGCUUCUGCAGAGAUUGACAGAGCAACGAGUGAGAGCAGAACAAUGAGUGAAGGGGAGCGAAGAUUGGCCAUAACUAUGCAACAAGAUCAAUCAGCUGUAAAUACAAUUUAUCCUCACUUUUGUUUUGUGUGUGUUGAUGUUCACUUGUGUUGAGCUUUUAUAGAAGUGGGAAGUGAAGAAUGGGGAACUUCCAAAGGUGAUUUAGUGGGAAAAGUUGUGUUAGCUCAACUUCCCACCCAUAAGACUCCCACUGUUGGCAUGACCAACUAUAGACUUCCUUACAAGUGUAACCUUGCUAUCUUUCUAUAUGGAGUCCAGAGAUUGGUUAGAUUGAUAAUAAGCUAAAAUAUGGUUCUCACUUGUAAUCAUUCUCAGAAAUCAGAACACUUGUGAAGUUCAAGCUUUUUCACCUAUUUAAUAAUUCACUUCUUUCCUGUUCUACCUACAAAAGAUGAGAUUCUGAAGAAUGGUUCUUCUUUAGUUACUUUAAAAUAAUGUUCAACGAAGAUAGCCUCAUCUGCAAAGUUGGCCAACCUACACACUAAACUUUGACAUGUCUUUCUUUUUAUUGAAGCUCUGACUGAUCUUCACAUCACAUCCAAUUAUCCACAAGGUACUCUUCUAUUUGAAAUUAAGAAUUUUAUUAAAAAUUAAUUCAAUUGAUUUCUUUUAUAUCAAUCUCUUGGUUGGAAUGAGAUUCAAUUUUUUUGACUUAUAAAAUUUUCAUAUUAAAAAAAUUGAAACCAUGUGUAUUCUUGUAAGAAUUUAUUUAUAUUCUUUUUUUUUUCAAACUGAAUCAUUGCAAACAAAAGGACUAUAUAAGGUAGUAUAUAUGAUUCUCAGUUGUAAUUAUAACAGUUCAAAAUAUGUCUAAUCACAUUAGUUUCGGUAGAUCUUCAACAAACUGAAAAUUACUAAUGUUUACAACGGAAUCUGUCUCAGCAAUAUGUAAUCUCCAUAUGCUUUUUUAGUUUUCAGAAACCUUGUAAUUUUUACAGAAUAAAGGAAUUUUACCAUUACGGGUGUAACAUCUAGUUAAACUCCGAUGUCGGAAUCUCAACGUUCUGACGGAAUCUCCGUCGAGAUCCAGAAUCUCGAAGCUAAAAUUUUUAGAAGGAUAAAAUAGAGUUUUCAUAAAAUGAAUUAAAAAUUUUUCUUGGUGUGUUUUAAAAAAAAAUAAAAAAUUUAGAGGAGUUUUAAAGUUCGGCCGCCGAAGACGGCUCUUCCAGCCACUUAUAAAAGGCCUUCAACCCAAAAAUAUGAGAACUCUUUCUCUAUUUUCGAGCAGAGGUAAGUCCAUGCCCUUUUCCAGACAUUCUUGCUAAAAUUACUUCAAAUCUCUUGGAGAAUACAUGAGUUUUUACUUCAUUUUUUAAGAUUUGAGUUUGGAUUUCAAGCUUUAAACUUUGGAGACCUCCGAAAAUCGAUUUCCCAAUUCUCCAAAUCUUGGUUGUUGUGUUUUCUAUGUUUUUCAAGAGGUAAGUUCAAUCUUUGCUUUUCUUAUGCUUUUUGAAGGUUUUAAACCGAUAUUAUAAGUUGUUAGGACAUGCAUGAUUGAUUAUUCUAAAGUUUUAAAGUUUGAGUUAGUUUUGAUGAUGGAUGAUUUUCUCCUGGGAUUUUGUUGAUGCAUGUUGAGUUUAGAACAGUUUUUGAGGUCUCUUAUGCGUGUUAAGUGUGUAUGGUAGUCUUUAGCCUGUUGCAUGUAAGUUUGGGUUUGUUUAUUGGCUAUGAGCAUAGGGCAAAAUCAGGUUCUGCCUUACUGGAGAUCCUAGGUUCAGCCGCUGAAGCAAGGUUCGGCCACCAAAUCUGUCUGUAGAGGCAGCCAUUUGGCCACCUAACCUGCCGCUGAAAGUCCUCUGUUCAGCCUUUUUCAGCUUGUUUCCUACGUGUGUUCUUGUAUGUUCUUAGGGGUUUUCUUGAGGGUAGUUUAAGUAUUGUAAUAGUUAUGUUUGGUUCCUCAUUUAAAUCCAUCUAUGUAGGAUCGGACUUUGGAGACUGUAGAGGCUUGCAGUGAGAUAACUGCUUCAGUACUAGGCGUGCAUCAGUCAAAGGUGAGUAGAACUGAACUGAUAUAUUAUUUUAAAGAAAUCAAACUUUUUAAGCAUACUCAUACAUCACGAAUGUCAUGUAUAUACGAUUAGGUUGUUUUGCAUUAGAGUUCACGAAUAUAAUACAUUGCAUAAAUUAUUGUUGUUGUGGAUGGACGUUGGAUGACCCACUAGCCCUCGAGUAUGUUAUGAUAUGUUAUGAUGGAUAUGGAAAGACUAGGGUUGCCUAUUCUACGCCUCUGGCACUAUGUAAGGGAAAGACCAGGGCUGCCCAUUCUAUGCCCCUUGCACUAUGGAUAUGUUAUGUUAUAUUUAAGAGGAAAACCUGAGGAGCACUCGUCGUGGGCCGAGCACUAUUGAAAUCUGUAGAGGGUUACUGAUGACAAGUCCAUUUUGAUGUAAAUUGUUUGUGCUGUGAUGCAUUCAUACAAUCAUAUAUUUUAUUGAACUGUUUUUUUAUGUUCUGCUCACUAGACUCUUAUAGUUUAUCCCCUUUCCCCUAAUCCCAGGUUUGCAGGAUCAAAGUUAGCUCGGGAAGUCGGCUGAGUUGCUGGUAUAGCCUAUUGUAAUAGUAUAGCUAUGGAAAUAUAUUCAUUUGUGGAUUAGAAUUGUGCUUUGCCCGGGUUCUUCCUUGUAAUCCUUGUUUCAUGAUCAUUUUAUAUAAAAGUUUUUAAGUAUAAGUUUAUGUUUAAAUCGAGCUUGAGGCAUGUUAUGUCACACCCAUUCUCAAAACUGUGGAGAUGGAUAUGACCCGAAAAACUGACAGAACUUCCCCUGUUGUUAAUACAUAUAACUCAUAUGACCUGCUAUAAUUUCAAAAUAUAAAACAUAUAAGAGAUGAUUGAUAGCUAGACUGGUCAAUACAUAAUAUAUUUACAAUAAACAAAACACGUUCAUCAUUUGAAUUUACAAUCUAUACAUAAUCUGUCAAAAUUACAAAAAGAAAAGACAAGACCUAGGAUUGGUCCGACCUCCUCUAGACUCUGAGUGGACGAUGUGGAAGGAAUAACAAACUAGGAGAUGAGGACUGCUGAGCGGAUCACCAAAAAAAAACUGAAUAUUAAAAGAAAUAAGAGUGAGUACAACAUAUUCAGUGAGUGGAUAAAUAAAUAACAAAGGGGAAAAGAUAAGUUUAGGUAAUUAAUAGUACCAAAUAUUUAGCUAAAAUAAGUCAGCUGAAUAAAUACAAUUUAAUUCCUAGGCCUGGGCCUUAUAUGUUAUGUUGACCAUACCGAAGCAUUUGAUGAGGGCUCUAGUAUAGGUUUUAUGUUUUCAGUUACGAUGCAUGCACAAGUCGAGUCUUGGUUCAUGUAAUAAUUAUAUUUUUGUUGUUUGUAUGAUCAUGCAUGGAAUUAUAUCAUAUGUAAUAGGAUGUAUAGUAUGCUUGCUGUGGGCUCCAGUGACCUUAAGUCGAUUUGAACCCUAGCACCGGUAGUGGUCUGGUUCCCGGGUCGUUACAGAGUGGUAUCAAAGCCCUAGAUUCAUAUGACUGGGCCUAGAGUGUUGGGCUCAUAGAUGUUAUAGAGGGCAAAUACAAUUAGGAAAUAUUAUAUCCACUAGGAUAGAAUGUAGAGUCUUGUCAUGAUAUAUGUGAUAACCUCCAGAUCUUUCCUAGCCCAGGAAUAAGGUCGGGUCCAAAAGAAGGCACAGGUCCAAAGCCCAUCAGAUCAUACGCUCGAGAGGCGGCUCGACUUCACGAGCCUGGGCCGGCAACCCAGGAUGAUCCGGAUCAGAUAUGAGCACAAGCCCCAUAAGGGAGUAGGCCCAAUCACUCACCAGCUCUACCCGCAUGCUCUCUGGAGAGCAUUAAAUGGCCGUUACGCAUGGAGCAGGUGCCUGACACGCCCGUAUGUACGGGCCUGAGUGACAAGGACAGGAAGCACUAUAUAUCGGGGGGUCUCCUCUUGCAAGGGGGAUCUUCUUCUUUUUCUUCUCCUGCCUGGACUCCAUUUUUAUUUUCUCUGCAACUCUUGCCUAGAUAUACUACUCUUAUUCAUGAAACCUGACUUGAACGUCGGAGGGUCUCCGCUGGGGCAUCCCGGUGGACCCUUGACCAUUUUUCCUUAUUUUGCAGGUCCCUUUCUCAGAUAGAACAUGGAGAGACCCAUUUGACAGAUUCGUCUGGGAGCCCAAGAAGGAAUCAGAUCCACAUAAGAGGGGGCGAGGGAGGACCAGAUCUAACAAAUAUGGAGCCCAGGGAGAUUUAAAGUUAUCAAUAUGUAUAAUGAUGUAUAAUGUCAUGACUAUAUACAUGUGCAUUGAUGAUAUGAUAGGUAUGAUGUGGGUUCAUGUGUAUCCACAUGAACCAUAUGAUGCUAAUGCCUAUAUGUUUAAAUGAUUUUUCAGAAGACAGAAUGCAUGGCUUAUGUCGAUCUGUACGAUUGACUAGAGUCCCAUCCGAAAAAUGAGGGUAUAGACGCCCUUCCUCCUGCUGCUCCGUCAAGAGUGCGGUCAAGUAGAAAUAACAAGAAUGAAAAGUCAAGAGACCCUAUAAUGUCUUUUAAUAUAAACAAAAAGAGAACAGAUCCGAGUAGGAUGUUUGCAGAUGCCAGAAAAACAGUAGGAAAUGAUUAGAGGAGAGAUAGAAGUUUGGGUAUGAGUUUUGAAGUAGAGGGUGUGGGAGAGUCUGAAAGAGGAACAGAAGGCGUCAGACCAUAGGAUCCGCCUAUCCACCUCAGUACCAACCCUAUGCACAGGAACUCGGGUAUCCGAUGGAAAGUACAACAGAUUACUCUAGCUACCACCCAUACCCCUCAUUCAUACCCUAUCCUCCUUGCUAUUCAUUAUAUCCACCCUACCCUAUCUUAUGUUUUCGCCUCCUCCCCAUUACUAGAAUUUGGCAAACUCUAACUCAGGAAAUGUUGCACCACCUCCUCCUCCAGCAAAACCAGCUAGAAAAAAGUUUUUAUACCCAGAUAGAAAAAAGUUUUUUCUUCAAACUAUAUCAUUCAUUUUAUUUUAUUUACAAUUUUAAUUAAAUCAGUUUUUGAUAAUUUUUCAAAAAAUUAAAUUUGAAAUAAAACAGAUAUUUUUUUUAAAAAUUUUAGGACAUUAAUAAUUUUUAACUUUGAUUAGCAAUUUAUAAUAUUAAACAUUAUACUUUUUAAUUAACAACAAUUCCAUUUAAUUUUCUAAGUUCAGUAAUUCUCUUUAUGGCCCUGAACUAUUUAAUAAGAUUGAUGAGGGUCAUAGCAAAAACCAAAUAAAUAAACUGGAUCAAUUUUGUAUAUAGAAUAUAAACAUACAACGUACAUCAUACAAAAGCUGAAACAAAAAUAUUAUAGGACUAAAACUCACUUCAAAUUUAAGCAUGCAUAUAUAUAACAUAUGAAUCAGACACUUAAGAACACAUAAAUGAUACUGAUCAAUGCAAAAGCUGAAGUCAUCACAGCGAGAUCAAACGUUGAAACCCUUGUGGUAUAAUUGCUUAAGGAUUGGUAGCUGAUUCAGGUUUGGUGUCUUUGGAAGGGAAUGUGGACUUUGGUAACUCAGGCAAGUGGGGAAAAGUUGGCAGUUCAGGUUUUGGCAACUCAGGCAAGUGGGGAAAAGCUGGCAGUUCAGGCUUUGGAAACUCAGGCAAUUCAGGUUUUGGCAGCGUGGGAAUUUCAGGCUUCGACAACUCAGGCAAUUCAGGUAAUUUUGGCAGAGUGGGAAGUUCAGGUUUAGGAAAGGUUGGGACUUCAGGUAAUGGUGGAAGCUCAACCUUAGGAAGUAAUGGCAAGUCAGGUAAUUCAGGCUUGGGAAGCUCCGGGACCUCAGGUAAUGUUGUCUCUAGAAGCUGCCGUGCUUCUGCAGAGAUUGACAGAGCAACGAGUGAGAGCAGAACAAUGAGUGAAGGGGAGCGAAGAUUGGCCAUAAUUAUGCAACAAGAUCAAUCAGCUGUAAAUAAAAUUUAUCCUCACUUUGUUUUGUGUGUGUUGAUGUUCACUUGUGUUGAGCUUUUAUAGAAGUGGGAAGUGAAGAAUGGGGAACUUACAAAGGUGAUUUAGUGGGAAAAGUUGUGUUAGCUCAACUUCCCACCCAUAAGACUCCCACUGUUGGCAUGACCAACUAUAGACUUCCUUACAAAUGUAACCUUGCUAUCUUUCUAUAUGGAGUCCAGAGAUUGGUUAGAUUGAUAAUAAGCUAAGAUAUGGUUCUCACUUGUAAUCAUUCUCAGAAAUCAGAACACUUGUGAAGUUCAAGAUUUUUCACCUAUUUAAUAAUUCACCUCUUUCUUGUUCUACCUACAAAAGAUGAGAAUCUGAAGAAUGGUUCUUCUUUAGUUACUUUAAAAUAAUGUUCAAUGAAGAUAGCCUCAUCUUCAAAGUUGGCCAACCUACACACUAAACUUUGACAUGUCUUUCUUUUCGUUGAAGCUCUGACUGAUCUUCACAUCCAAUUAUUCAAGUUAAUCUUCUAUUUGAAAUUAAGAAUUUUACUAAAAAUUAAUCCAAUUGAUUUCUUUUAUAUAGAUCUCUUGGUUGGAAUGAUAUUCAAUUUUUUUUUAACUUAUAAAAUUUUUAUAUUAAAAAAAUUAAAACUAUGUGUAAUCUUGUUAGAAUUUAUUUGUAUUAUUUUCUUUCAAACUGAAUCAUUGCAAACACAAGGACUAUAUGAGAGAGUAUAUAUAAAUCUCAGUUGUAAUUAUAACAGUUUAGAAUAUGUCUAAUCACAUUAGUUUUGGUAUAUCUUGAACAAACCGAAAAUUACUAAUGUUUAUAACGGAAUCUGUCUCAACAACAUCUAAUCUCGAUAUGCUUUUCCAAUUAAUCUCGAUAUGCUUUUCCAAUUUUCAGAAGCCUUAUAACUUUUACAGAAUAAAAGAAUUUUACCACGGAGAGUUCAUUUAAUCUUUGAUUUGAUUUGAGUAAAAAUAAAUAAAUUGAAUUAAAUCAAACCAAAUUUUGAAGAGUUCAAACUUAUUUUUUAAAUUUUUUUUAAGUUUGAGUUUCAUUUUGAACUUGAGCCAAGUAUUAAUAAGCUUAAAUUUGGCUCAUUUAGCAAACGAAUUUAGAUAAAUCGAAUUUUUAUCGAGUUUAGUUUUGAAUAAUUUACGAAAAGUUCAAUUUAUUUACAUAUAUAUAUAUAAUAAGAUUUAGUUGAAAACUAAUACGUUUAAAACUAAAUAAUUUUAGUUAAAUAAGUAUAUAUAUAAAUUAGCUUUUAAAAUUAUAAAGGAUGAGUUUUUAAAUUUUAAUGAUUCAAAUAUCUAUAAAUUUUAAAAGUAUAAUUAAACUAUGCAAGUUGAACUUUAAAAAACUUAGAUCUGAUUCAUGAAAAUAUAUACAAAGUAUAAUUUAGUUCUCUUAUAAUAUUACUUUCCGUAUGCUUAUUUGAGACCGUUUAUAAGUUUGUUCGCGAGCUUGCUCAUAAAUUCGAAAAUGAGCUGAAUUCGUGAGUCUUAAAGAGUCUAAUACAAAUGAAUCUGAAAAUUAAGUUCAAUCUUGAUUCAUUUAGAAAUCAAGUUGAGUUUGAUUGAACUUUUUAUCGAAUUGAACUUUCAAUAAUUCACGGACAAUUUAAUCCAUUUACACCACUAAUAGUUAUUUAGGGUCAGAUAUAAUUGCGCUCUAUAAUAGUAGAACUAAAGAGUUGGUUCUAUUAAUUACCACAGAGCCAAUCUAUUAUUGGUCGUUGAUAGAUGCGCAUUGUGGGAGUAACCCUAAUGGAAAAAUUAAUUGAUUGAAAGCUUACUUUGUAGUCAAUAAAUUACCACUAAAAUAUGAGCUUGAUUACAAUAAUAUUUUGACUCAAAUGGCUAAAAUUUUAUCAAUUCGUCUUCUUGUCUCCUUAACAACAUCCACAUCAUUGGCCUCUUUAUUGAAUAGAUAAAAAAAAUUACUUUUUAUACGAAGAACUUAUAAAGAAAGUUCUUAUAAAGCAAUCAUCAGACCAUCAGAGUUUGUUGCUGAGAGGAUCAGGCAUGGUAUGCCAUUUAUGACAAAUACCACACGGGUUAAAAGUAGCCUGUAAGGAUGUUGUUUGGAUAGUUUAGUAAUGGGAUCCAACAGAUUAGGAUGUGUAGGAGUGAAGCCUAAUGUGCCCCUUAUAUGGGUCAUAGGCAAUCCUCCCCCUUGAGCUAGCUUUUGGGGUGAGUUAGGCCUGGCCCAAAUUUAACUUGGUAUCAAAGCCUCCCCAUCCGAUGUUGGGCCUCCCAUAAAUGUGUCACGCACCAGUAAAAUUCUGGGCGUGAGGGGGGUAUGUUGAAUCCCACAUCGGUUGUGGAAAGGGGUAAUGUGCCCCUUAUAUGGGUCAUAUAUAUAUAUAUCAUUAAAUAAAGCAUAAUUCUUGUAUAGAUUGAGUCUAUACGGACAUGUAGUAUAAAUUAUAUGUGAUUUGUUAUAGCUGUCACUACUAUUUUAUAUUACAGUCUGAUGACUGCUGGAUUUCUUCACCCCGACCUAAAGGCCAGGCCCCUGAAAACAGUCCAUAAUCCGAAGGCUUCAAUAUUCCCCUCGAGAGCCAGGUCUAGCCCGCUCAGUCACAGGGCCGGACUCUGCCUAGACUCCUCAAUCAAGCCGGCCCAAACCUCUCGGCCCAAUAAUCAGGCCCUCACCAGGCUCAACUUCAGCCCUACCAUUCAACCCAGCCCAGAAAGAGGAAAAUGACUAACCUGCCCCGCUGAUGGGUCCUUCCGCAUGCGUAUCAGAGGAGAAUUAAUGGUCGUUACGCAUGGAGCAGGCGCCUGACACAUCCGUACAUACAGAGCUGGGCGGCAGAAGACAGCUAGCAUUGUGGCAGAGAGACAGAUAUAUAUAUUACAGUAGAGGCCACGCAAAAGAGGGGGCUCUCUCUUCUUCUUCCUUCUCCUUCCUGGACACCAUUUUUAUUCUUUCUGCAACCCUUGCCUAAAUAUACUACUCUGAGCCAUAAAAUCUGACUUGAGCGUCGGAGGGCCUCCACCGGGGCACCCCCGGUAGGCCCCUGACCAUUCUUUCUUAUUUUACAGGUCCUUUCACCAGGUAAAACAUGGAGAGAUCCAUCAGGGAGCCCAGCAAGAAGGGACCCAGAAGAAAACCAGAUCUAUCAUGGACCAGGAAGAGGAAAAAAUUUAUCACAGUCCAUAUAAAACCGGUGUAGAUAAGUUUUUGCCCUUCAAGGAAAAUUGGUAAAAGAAUAUAAUUAGUAAAUUCUUUCAAUUUUUAGUAUAUGGAAAAUAAUUAUCACCCAUGAUUGAAUUAUUGGACAACAUCAUCAAAGAGAACUCUAGCAAAGUCCUUUCGUAUUUUCAUAUUUUCACUCUGUACCGAAUAAUUUUUGUUUUUUUUUUUUAAAUGAGAAUUGGAGAUUAGGAGAGUAGAACCUAAGCUUGUAAAUGCAGAUUGAAUAGUCUUAUAAUUGAAAUAUCUAAAUAAAAUCAUAAACAAAAUGAAUUUUAACUCAGAUCUUAACAAAUUAAUAUAAUAAUCUCAAUUUGAUCUAGUGUAUCUUUUGAUUUACAGUUUUUUAAGUCAAAUGUCAAUGAUAAAUUUAAAAUUUUAGUAGUUUUUUUCUCGUAACUCUAUUCCUAUUAUUAGAAUCUCUCUUUUACCGAAAAAUUCUUCAUAGUUAUGGAGGAAAAAUUUUUCUUUUUCUUGAAAAACUUAUCAUUUAUUUUAUUUUAUUUAUAAUUUUAAUUAAAUCGGUUGUUCAUAAUUUUUCAAAAAUUUAGAUUUGAAAUAAAAUAUAUUUUUUUUAAUUUUAGGCCAUCAGUAAUUUUUAAGUUCAGUGACUCAUAAUAUUAAAUUUAUAUUUUUUUAAUUCACAACAAUAUUUUAAUUUUUAAGUUCUGUAAAUUCUUGUGGCUCUGUGUGAAUGUGCUUGGAUCAUGAACUAUCAAUAAGAUUCAUCACAAUCAUACCCAAGAUCAAGAUCAAAUAAAUAAGCUGAUCAACUCUGCAAAUAGAAUAUAAACUGUACAUCAUACAAAUAUUUGAAAUAUAAAGAUUACAGGACUAACAUCCACUCCAAAUUUAAUCAUAUAUAUAUGUAAUCAAUGAUACUGAUCAAUGCGAAAGAUGAAGUCAUCACUGUGAGAUCAAACAUCGAAACAUUUAUGGUAUAGUUGUUUAAGGACUGGGAGUUGAUUGAGGAGGUUUUGUGUCCUUGGCAAGGAAUGUGGGCUUUGGUAACUCUGGCAAGUGGGGAAAAGUUGGCAGUUCAGGUUUUGGUAACUCAGGCAAUUCAAGUUUUGGCAAAGUGGGAAUUUCAGGCUUUGGCAACUCAGGCAAUUCAGGUUUUGGCAGUGUGGGAAGUUCAGGCUUAGGGAAGGCUGGGACUUCUGGUAAUGGUGGAAGCUCAACCUUAGGCAGUGAAGGCAAUUCAGGCUUGGGAAGCUCAGAUACCUCAGGCAAUGCUGUUUUUAGAAGGUGUCGUGCAUCUACGGAUUGACAGAGUGAUAAGUGAGAGCAUAAUGAUGAGGGAAGGGGAGCGAUGAUCGGCCAAAAUGCGACAAGAUCAACCACCUGCAAAGUGAAUAGUAAUUAAAAUUUCUGGACAAUUUUGUUUUGCGUGUUGAUGUUCACUUAGUGUUGAGCUUUUAUAGAAGUGGGAAGUGGAGAAUGGAGAACCUUCAAUGGUAAUUUGGUGGGAAAACUUGUGUCCUGUUAGCUCAACUUCCCAUCUAUAAUCCUCCAACAACUGGCAUGACCCAUUAUAGGCUUCCAUACAAAAGUAAUCUUUCCGUCCUUCUACAUGGAUUCAAGAGAUUAGUUGGAGAGAACCACAGCUAAAAGAUUGACAUUAAGCUAAAAUAUGUUGUCAGAAAUCACAACACUUGUCAAGUUCAAGCAUUUUUACAAAUUUAAUAAUUCACCACCACUAAACUUUGACAAAUCUUCCUUUAUUGCAACGCUUAUUGUUAUUGUUGGAAUUUAAUGACUGACCGAUCCAAAUCUCCAUGCGAUGAAAGUGUUGAAUUCCAAUUUAAUAUGAUGGCCUCUUCUAAAAUACUUCUAGACAAUUUAAAUUAAAUUUCAAUUAACUUAUCAUAUUAUAAAGCUUAUUAUUAUCAAUGUCAAGACUACGUUAUGAAAAAUAUCUUUCAUAUUUUUUGUUAUUUGGAAUAAUGAGAAAAAUUAAUCAAUAAAAAUAUUUUCUUGAUUAAAGAAAAAAUUAAAUCAUUUUAAAAAAAUACUGCUUCUUGGCUCUUUCUUUCUCAUCAAUUCUAUUUUCCUGUUGUGCUCUUCCAACAAAUCCAUAGUCACCAACUUGCCCUUUGAAAUUUAAAUUAUUGGACGACAUCAUCAACGAGAAUUCUAGCAAAGUUCUCUAAUAUUUUCUUCAUCAAUGUUGAAUUUUGAGAGGGAAGGGGAAUAAUACAUAUGAAUGCGACUAAAUAGUCUUACAAUUUUAUUGAUUGUAUUGUUAUUUAUACAGUCAAAUAUAAUUAAAAAAUCUAAAUAAAAUUAUAAAUAAUUUAAAUAUUAACUUAAAUAUUAAUAAAUUAAAAUAAUGAUUCAAAUUUAAAUUAUAUGAUUUAGCAUAUUUUUCGGUUUCUAAAUCAAAUAUCCAACGAUCAAUUUAAAAUUUUAGUACUCAUAAGCCCUUGGUAUUAUUAGAAACUCUCUUACUAAAAUUUUUUAAUAAUUAUAAAUAAAAAAGUUUUAUUUUUCUUUCAUAAUAUUAGAAAUAAAACCAUAUCAUUUAUUUUAUUUAAUUUGUAAUCGAAUUAAAUCGGUUGUUCAUGAUUUUUUGAAAAAUUAGAUUUAAAAUAAAAUGGAUAAUUUUUUAAUUUUAGGCCAUCAAUAAUUUUUAAGUUCAGUAAUUCAUAAUACUAAAAUUUUUUAAAAAAAUUCACAACAACAAUUUAAUUUUUAAGUUCAGUAAUAAUUUCUCUUUGUGGCUCUGCAUGAAAGUGCUUGGAUCAUGAACUAUUAAAUAAGAUUGAUCAGUCAUACCCAAAAUCAAAUAAAUAAGCUGGAUCAACUCAGUAUAUAGAAAAUGAACUCACAAGAUACAUCAUUCAAACAACUGAAACAGAAAUAUUAUAGGACUACCACUCACUGCAAAUUAAUCAUGUAUAUGUAAAAGAAGAUAUAAAUGAUACUGAUCAAUGCGAAAGAUGAAGUCAUCACUGUGAGAUCAAAUAUAGAAACACUUAUGGUGUAGUUGUUUAAGGACUGGUGGUUGAUUGAGGAGGUUUUGUGUCCUUAGAAGGCAAUGUGGGCUUUGGCAACUCAGGCAAGUGGGGAAAAGCUGGCAAUUCAGGCUUUGGCAACUCAGGCAAUUCAGGUUUUGGCAGUAUGGGAAGUUCAGGUUUAGGAAAGGUGGAGACUUCAGGUAAUGGUGGAAGCUCAACUUUAGGCAAUGAUGGCAACUCAGGCUUGGGAAGCUCAGGUACCUCAGGCAAUUCUGUCUCCAGAAGGUGUCGUGCAUCUACAGAGAUUGAUAGAGUGAUGAGUGAGAGCAUAAUGAUGAGGGAAGAGCGAAGAUCGGCCAUAAUGCUAU